Molecule: long non-coding RNA, 653 nt
Organism: Bombus impatiens (common eastern bumble bee)
Lineage: Eukaryota; Metazoa; Arthropoda; Insecta; Hymenoptera; Apidae
Exons: 2
Source: RefSeq, a predicted model, not a curated record
UAAAAUUGAAUUAUUAAAGAACAUAAAAAAAUUAACUAAAACGCAAAAUAUUUUUUAAGGAUGUUUUGAAAUAAAAAACUAAAAAUAAUAGAUGCUAUUUUGGGUGUGAUCAACAGAUGUAAUGUAGGUACAUAUAUACAAUUAAUAAAGUAGGAUAUAGUUCAACUGAAAAAUAGUGACGUUUUGAUUGUAAUUUAAAAUUUCUGAGUUAACCAGCAUAUGUGCACUCUAUCAUUAAUAAUAUUAACUAAUUAAUUUUCUGUUCAUGUUAGAAAAUGUUCUUAAUGGUAAUUACAGUAUGUAUUAUGUAAAUGAAACAUAAAACGUUAAUAUGAGCUAUAAGAAUAUGCAAUAAAAAAAUAUAGAGGUCUUUAAAAGCUUAAAUGUAACCUUCAUCAAAUUCUCUAACGUUAUUUCAAGGUCAAAAGUCAUUGUGAUAUGUCUCUCUUGAUACUAUAUAACUUUUAUCUGAAACAUUUUUUCGCAUUUCUGAUACUGAAAGAAUCACUUGUAGAUAUUUGAAACGGACAUAACGUACAUAUGUAGAAACGUUGCACAACAUUGUGCACGGUCAGUGUUUCCUUUAAGAAUUCCUUCAGAAAAUCGAUACGAGUAGCCAUUAGCAUCACAUGUAUCAUGAGAAUGUCAAAUUU